Molecule: ribosomal RNA, 833 nt
Filed under: Clonostachys rogersoniana
Lineage: Eukaryota; Fungi; Ascomycota; Sordariomycetes; Hypocreales; Bionectriaceae
Description: partial large subunit ribosomal RNA
Rfam family: Eukaryotic large subunit ribosomal RNA
Source: RNAcentral
CAGGGAUUGCCCUAGUAACGGCGAGUGAAGCGGCAACAGCUCAAAUUUGAAAUCUGGCGCAAGCCCGAGUUGUAAUUUGUAGAGGAUGUUUCUGGCGACGUGCCUUCCGAGUUCCCUGGAACGGGACGCCAUAGAGGGUGAGAGCCCCGUACGGUUGGAUGCCUAGCCUCUGUGAAACUCCUUCGACGAGUCGAGUAGUUUGGGAAUGCUGCUCUAAAUGGGAGGUAUACGUCUUCUAAAGCUAAAUACCGGCCAGAGACCGAUAGCGCACAAGUAGAGUGAUCGAAAGAUGAAAAGCACUUUGAAAAGAGGGUUAAAAAGUACGUGAAAUUGUUGAAAGGGAAGCGUUCAUGACCAGACUUGGGCAGGUUGAUCAUCCGUGGUUCUCCGCGGUGCACUCUGCCUGCCCAGGCCAGCAUCAGUUCGCCCCGGGGGAUAAAGGUUUCGGGAAUGUGGCUCCUCCGGGAGUGUUAUAGCCCGUUGCGUAAUACCCUGGGACGGACUGAGGUUCGCGCUCUGCAAGGAUGCUGGCGUAAUGGUCAUCAACGACCCGUCUUGAAACACGGACCAAGGAGUCGUCUUCGUAUGCGAGUGUUCGGGUGUCAAACCCCUACGCGUAAUGAAAGUGAACGUAGGAGAGAGCUUCGGCGCAUCUCCGACCGAUCCUGAUGUUCUCGGAUGGAUUUGAGUAAGAGCAUACGGGGCCGGACCCGAAAGAAGGUGAACUAUGCCUGUAUAGGGUGAAGCCAGAGGAAACUCUGGUGGAGGCUCGCAGCGGUUCUGACGUGCAAAUCGAUCGUCAAAUAUGGGCAUGGGGGCGAAAGACUAAUCGA